Molecule: non-coding RNA, 77 nt
Organism: Potamilus streckersoni
Lineage: Eukaryota; Metazoa; Mollusca; Bivalvia; Unionida; Unionidae
Source: the annotation of a GenBank genome assembly
GACUGCUCCGGUGGCCUAGUGGUGAGAGCAUCCGCCUCGGAUGCGAGAGUCUGUGGGUUCGAUCCCCAGCCGAGUCA